UGUUUUCCGUAGGUGAACCUGCGGGAGGAUCAUUCCCAGUCUUAU
RNAcentral lists this ribosomal RNA (45 nucleotides) under Pollicipes pollicipes. Its description in RNAcentral is "partial 18S ribosomal RNA". The record is from RNAcentral. Lineage: Eukaryota; Metazoa; Arthropoda; Thecostraca; Pollicipedomorpha; Pollicipedidae.